CCUACGGGGGGCAGCAGUGGGGAAUAUUGCACAAUGGGCGCAAGCCUGAUGCAGCCAUGCCGCGUGUGUGAAGAAGGCCUUCGGGUUGUAAAGCACUUUCAGCGGGGAGGAAGGCGGUGAGGUUAAUAACCUCAUCGAUUGACGUUACCCGCAGAAGAAGCACCGGCUAACUCCGUGCCAGCAGCCGCGGUAAUACGGAGGGUGCAAGCGUUAAUAGGAAUUACUGGGCGGAAAGCGCACGCAGGCGGUCUGUCAAGUCGGAUGUGAAAUCCCCGGGCUCAACCUGGGAACUGCAUUCGAAACUGGCAGGCUAGAGUCUUGUAGAGGGGGGUAGAAUUCCAGGUGUAGCGGUGAAAUGCGUAGAGAUCUGGAGGAAUACCGGUGGCGAAGGCGGCCCCCUGGACAAAGACUGACGCUCAGGUGCGAAAGCGUGGGGAGCAAACAGGAUUAGAUACCCUUGUAGUC
Molecule: ribosomal RNA, 465 nt
Filed under: uncultured Klebsiella sp.
Lineage: Bacteria; Pseudomonadati; Pseudomonadota; Gammaproteobacteria; Enterobacterales; Enterobacteriaceae
Description: bacterial SSU rRNA
Rfam family: Bacterial small subunit ribosomal RNA
Source: RNAcentral